Molecule: ribosomal RNA, 1301 nt
Filed under: Staphylococcus aureus
Lineage: Bacteria; Bacillati; Bacillota; Bacilli; Caryophanales; Staphylococcaceae
Description: partial 23S ribosomal RNA
Rfam family: Bacterial large subunit ribosomal RNA
Source: RNAcentral
UAUCGAUAUGUGAAUACAUAGCAUAUCAGAAGGCACACCCGGAGAACUGAAACAUCUUAGUACCCGGAGGAAGAGAAAGAAAAUUCGAUUCCCUUAGUAGCGGCGAGCGAAACGGGAAGAGCCCAAACCAACAAGCUUGCUUGUUGGGGUUGUAGGACACUCUAUACGGAGUUACAAAGGACGACAUUAGACGAAUCAUCUGGAAAGAUGAAUCAAAGAAGGUAAUAAUCCUGUAGUCGAAAAUGUUGUCUCUCUUGAGUGGAUCCUGAGUACGACGGAGCACGUGAAAUUCCGUCGGAAUCUGGGAGGACCAUCUCCUAAGGCUAAAUACUCUCUAGUGACCGAUAGUGAACCAGUACCGUGAGGGAAAGGUGAAAAGCACCCCGGAAGGGGAGUGAAAUAGAACCUGAAACCGUGUGCUUACAAGUAGUCAGAGCCCGUUAAUGGGUGAUGGCGUGCCUUUUGUAGAAUGAACCGGCGAGUUACGAUUUGAUGCAAGGUUAAGCAGUAAAUGUGGAGCCGUAGCGAAAGCGAGUCUGAAUAGGGCGUUUAGUAUUUGGUCGUAGACCCGAAACCAGGUGAUCUACCCUUGGUCAGGUUGAAGUUCAGGUAACACUGAAUGGAGGACCGAACCGACUUACGUUGAAAAGUGAGCGGAUGAACUGAGGGUAGCGGAGAAAUUCCAAUCGAACCUGGAGAUAGCUGGUUCUCUCCGAAAUAGCUUUAGGGCUAGCCUCAAGUGAUGAUUAUUGGAGGUAGAGCACUGUUUGGACGAGGGGCCCCUCUCGGGUUACCGAAUUCAGACAAACUCCGAAUGCCAAUUAAUUUAACUUGGGAGUCAGAACAUGGGUGAUAAGGUCCGUGUUCGAAAGGGAAACAGCCCAGACCACCAGCUAAGGUCCCAAAAUAUAUGUUAAGUGGAAAAGGAUGUGGCGUUGCCCAGACAACUAGGAUGUUGGCUUAGAAGCAGCCAUCAUUUAAAGAGUGCGUAAUAGCUCACUAGUCGAGUGACACUGCGCCGAAAAUGUACCGGGGCUAAACAUAUUACCGAAGCUGUGGAUUGUCCUUUGGACAAUGGUAGGAGAGCGUUCUAAGGGCGUUGAAGCAUGAUCGUAAGGACAUGUGGAGCGCUUAGAAGUGAGAAUGCCGGUGUGAGUAGCGAAAGACGGGUGAGAAUCCCGUCCACCGAUUGACUAAGGUUUCCAGAGGAAGGCUCGUCCGCUCUGGGUUAGUCGGGUCCUAAGCUGAGGCCGACAGGCGUAGGCGAUGGAUAACAGGUUGAUAUUCCUGUACCACCUAUA